RNAcentral lists this ribosomal RNA (253 nucleotides) under uncultured bacterium. Its description in RNAcentral is "partial 16S ribosomal RNA". It matches the Rfam family "Bacterial small subunit ribosomal RNA", at positions 524 to 776 of the family's 1533-position model. The record is from RNAcentral.
GACGUAGGGUGCGAGCGUUGUCCGGAUUUAUUGGGCGUAAAGAGCUCGUAGGUGGUUUGUCGCGUUGUCCGUGAAAACUCACAGCUCAACUGUGGGCGUGCGGGCGAUACGGGCAGACUGGAGUACUGCAGGGGAGACUGGAAUUCCUGGUGUAGCGGUGAAAUGCGCAGAUAUCAGGAGGAACACCGGUGGCGAAGGCGGGUCUCUGGGCCGAUACUGACGCUGAGGAGCGAAAGCGUGGGGAGCGAACAGG